This 400-nucleotide unclassified non-coding RNA is filed under the name uncultured bacterium. Its description in RNAcentral is "contains 16S-23S intergenic spacer region". The record is from RNAcentral.
AAUCCGAGAAUUUCACCUCCAACACCGCAAUACGAAUGCCCCCGUCUGUCCCUCUUAAUCAUUACCUCAAGUUCCGAAAACCAACAAAAUAGAACCGAGGUCCUAUUCCAUUAUUCCAUGCACCAUUAUUCGGGCGGACAACGCCUGCUUGGAACACUCUAAUUUUUUCAAAGUAAACGUCCUGGCCGUCGCCGGCACUGCAGUGAAGAGCACCGACGAGCGUCCAGAGGGUGAGAGACCGGGAAAGACGCACGUCGAUCCGCACCCGAAGGCCGACCCAUCCGUGCGACGUCGAGCAGUGACCGCCGCGAGGCGGACCGCUCGCCCGGAUCCGAGAUCCAACUACGAGCUUUUUAACUGCAACAACUUUAAUAUACGCUAUUGGAGCUGGAAUUACCGC